UAAUACCGCAUAACGUCGCAAGACGAAAGAGGGGGACCUUCGGGCCUCUUGCCAUCGGAUGUGCCCAGAUGGGAUUAGCUAGUAGGUGGGGUAACGGCUCACCUAGGCGACGAUCCCUAGCUGGUCUGAGAGGAUGACCAGCCACACUGGAACUGAGACACGGUCCAGACUCCUACGGGAGGCAGCAGUGGGGAAUAUUGCACAAUGGGCGCAAGCCUGAUGCAGCCAUGCCGCGUGUAUGAAGAAGGCCUUCGGGUUGUAAAGUACUUUCAGCGGGGAGGAAGGCGAUAAGGUUAAUA
RNAcentral lists this ribosomal RNA (299 nucleotides) under uncultured Pseudescherichia sp. Its description in RNAcentral is "partial 16S ribosomal RNA". It matches the Rfam family "Bacterial small subunit ribosomal RNA", at positions 164 to 465 of the family's 1533-position model. Lineage: Bacteria; Pseudomonadati; Pseudomonadota; Gammaproteobacteria; Enterobacterales; Enterobacteriaceae. The record is from RNAcentral.